RNAcentral lists this ribosomal RNA (524 nucleotides) under uncultured bacterium. RNAcentral describes it as "partial 16S ribosomal RNA". It matches the Rfam family "Bacterial small subunit ribosomal RNA", at positions 28 to 523 of the family's 1533-position model. The record is from RNAcentral.
GACGAACGCUGGCGGCGUGCCUAAUACAUGCAAGUCGAGCGCAGGAAAUCGACGGAACCCUUCGGGGGGAAGUCGAUGGAAUGAGCGGCGGACGGGUGAGUAACACGUAAAGAACCUGCCCUCAGGUCUGGGAUAACCACGAGAAAUCGGGGCUAAUACCGGAUGGGUCAUCGGACCGCAUGGUCCGAGGAUGAAAGGCGCUUCGGCGUCGCCUGGGGAUGGCUUUGCGGUGCAUUAGCUAGUUGGUGGGGUAAUGGCCCACCAAGGCGACGAUGCAUAGCCGACCUGAGAGGGUGAUCGGCCACACUGGGACUGAGACACGGCCCAGACUCCUACGGGAGGCAGCAGUAGGGAAUCUUCCACAAUGGACGAAAGUCUGAUGGAGCAGCGCCGCGUGAACGAUGAAGGCCUUCGGGUCGUAAAGUUCUGUUGUAAGGGAAGAACAGGUGCCGCAGGCAAUGGCGGCACCUUGACGGUACCUUGCGAGAAAGCCACGGCUAAUUACGUGCCAGCCGCCGCCGUAA